RNAcentral lists this ribosomal RNA (1370 nucleotides) under uncultured bacterium. Its description in RNAcentral is "bacterial SSU rRNA". It matches the Rfam family "Bacterial small subunit ribosomal RNA", at positions 28 to 1381 of the family's 1533-position model. The record is from RNAcentral.
GACGAACGCUGGCGGCGUGCCUAAUACAUGCAAGUAGAACGCUGAAGAAGAGGAGCUUGCUCUUCUUGGAUGAGUUGCGAACGGGUGAGUAACGCGUAGGUAACCUGCCUUGUAGCGGGGGAUAACUAUUGGAAACGAUAGCUAAUACCGCAUAACAAUGGAUGACACAUGUCAUUUAUUUGAAAGGGGCAAUUGCUCCACUACAAGAUGGACCUGCGUUGUAUUAGCUAGUAGGUGAGGUAACGGCUCACCUAGGCGACGAUACAUAGCCGACCUGAGAGGGUGAUCGGCCACACUGGGACUGAGACACGGCCCAGACUCCUACGGGAGGCAGCAGUAGGGAAUCUUCGGCAAUGGGGGCAACCCUGACCGAGCAACGCCGCGUGAGUGAAGAAGGUUUUCGGAUCGUAAAGCUCUGUUGUAAGUCAAGAACGAGUGUGAGAGUGGAAAGUUCACACUGUGACGGUAGCUUACCAGAAAGGGACGGCUAACUACGUGCCAGCAGCCGCGGUAAUACGUAGGUCCCGAGCGUUGUCCGGAUUUAUUGGGCGUAAAGCGAGCGCAGGCGGUUUGAUAAGUCUGAAGUUAAGGCUGUGGCUCAACCCAUAGUUCGCUUUGGAAACUGUCAAACUUGAGUGCAGAAGGGGAGAGUGGAAUUCCAUGUGUAGCGGUGAAAUGCGUAGAUAUAUGGAGGAACACCGGUGGCGAAAGCGGCUCUCUGGUCUGUAACUGACGCUGAGGCUCGAAAGCGUGGGGAGCGAACAGGAUUAGAUACCCUGGUAGUCCACGCCGUAAACGAUGAGUGCUAGGUGUUGGAUCCUUUCCGGGAUUCAGUGCCGCAGCUAACGCAUUAAGCACUCCGCCUGGGGAGUACGACCGCAAGGUUGAAACUCAAAGGAAUUGACGGGGGCCCGCACAAGCGGUGGAGCAUGUGGUUUAAUUCGAAGCAACGCGAAGAACCUUACCAGGUCUUGACAUCCCGAUGCUAUUUCUAGAGAUAGAAAGUUACUUCGGUACAUCGGUGACAGGUGGUGCAUGGUUGUCGUCAGCUCGUGUCGUGAGAUGUUGGGUUAAGUCCCGCAACGAGCGCAACCCCUAUUGUUAGUUGCCAUCAUUCAGUUGGGCACUCUAGCGAGACUGCCGGUAAUAAACCGGAGGAAGGUGGGGAUGACGUCAAAUCAUCAUGCCCCUUAUGACCUGGGCUACACACGUGCUACAAUGGUUGGUACAACGAGUUGCGAGUCGGUGACGGCAAGCUAAUCUCUUAAAGCCAAUCUCAGUUCGGAUUGUAGGCUGCAACUCGCCUACAUGAAGUCGGAAUCGCUAGUAAUCGCGGAUCAGCACGCCGCGGUGAAUACGUUCCCGGGCCU